Molecule: ribosomal RNA, 406 nt
Filed under: uncultured bacterium
Lineage: Bacteria
Description: partial 16S ribosomal RNA
Rfam family: Bacterial small subunit ribosomal RNA
Source: RNAcentral
AUUGAACGCUGGCGGCAGGCCUCCCACAUGCAAGUCGAGCGAGCGGCGGACGGGUGGGUAAUGUCUGGGAAACUGCCUGAUGGAGGGGGAUAACUACUGGAAACGGUAGCUAAUACCGCAUACCAUCAGAUGUGCCCAGCUGGGAUUAGCUUGUAGGUGGGGUAACGGCUCACCUAGGCGACGAUCCCUCGCUGGUCUGAGAGGAUGACCAGCCACACGGGAGCUGAGACACGGUCCAGACGCCUACGGGAGGCAGCAGGGGGGAAUAUGGCACAACGGGCGCAAGACUGAUGCAGCCAUGCCGCGUGUGUGAAGAAGGCCUUCGGGUUGGAAAGCACUUUCAGCGGGGAGGCGUUACCCGCAGAAGAAGCACCGGCUAACUCCGUGACAGCAGCCGCGGUAAUAC